Molecule: non-coding RNA, 211 nt
Filed under: Tepidanaerobacter acetatoxydans
Lineage: Bacteria; Bacillati; Bacillota; Clostridia; Thermosediminibacterales; Tepidanaerobacteraceae
Also listed under: 1 other name
Description: T-box sequence
Rfam family: T-box leader
About the family: Uncharged tRNA acts as the effector for transcription antitermination of genes in the T-box leader family. T-boxes are found upstream of many aminoacyl-tRNA synthetase genes and some amino acid biosynthetic genes usually in Gram-positive bacteria.
Source: RNAcentral
AAGAAUGUUUUGAUAGGGAGGAGUAGAAGUAAUCUUCCAGAAAGAGAGGAAGGUCAAGGCUGAAAGCCUUCCGGGAGUAGCUUUGAAGGUCGCCCUGGAGCAGCUUCGGUGAAUAAAAUUAAGUAGCCGAAGACGGUUAUGCCCGUUAAAGCUUAAAGUGCCGGUAUAGGAAUUAAGGUGGUACCGCGAAAGCGAGUCUUUCGUCCUUUAG